Pogoniulus pusillus (Red-fronted tinkerbird) is the source of this 899-nucleotide long non-coding RNA. RefSeq lists it as uncharacterized. The transcript is spliced from 4 exons. The record is from RefSeq and is a predicted model, not a curated record. Lineage: Eukaryota; Metazoa; Chordata; Aves; Piciformes; Lybiidae.
GGACAUCUGAGAUUUUACCUCCAUCUUAGAGGUGGUGUAACUGAGGUCCAUGUGAGAUACAUACUUACUAAAACAAAGGUAAUAAGAUUCAAACCUGUUAUCUGUGCAUCUGCCAAACUGUGCAGCCGUUUGGUAGAUUAGAGCAGCGCCUACCUGAAGUAAUGGUGUUAUUUAAUCAUGUUUUAUAGUUAAGGCAGCUUCUUCAUUUUCCGAUGUGUUCUCAUAGCAUGCCUUUUACUGACCUCCGUAACACCUUUUACAGGAGUAUUUUCAUCAGUGGCCCUACAUACAAGCAGCAAGCUAAGAGCAAAUGCCACAGCUCUUUCCAGAAACCACACAAGGUAGUUCCAGAGUAUACUGCACUUACUGUGAGGGAAGAAGCAUCGACGGAGCUUCUUGAGACAGCAAGAGAGGUUGGUCAAGGAUUCAAUAUUCAGGAUUCUCCAGAAGAUCACUGUUAGUGUGAAUACAAACUGUAAAGCAAGCAGACUUCAAAAUGUUUUGACAUCUACCUUGUGAAAACAGAUUAAUGAGAAGAAAUAUGAAGCAUGUCAGAACAUCAUAGAAAGCACAGAACUUUGGCCCCCAUGGGAAAGACAAGGAAAUUAAGACAGGAAAAGGGACUGGAGAAGAAGAUAAAGCAAGAAAUGGCAAAAUAGGAAUUGACUAGUGAAAAACAGAGUGCCAUUGAUCUUGCUUAGAGGAGACGAAAAGGUCACAGUGUGUUCACAGGACACACACCAUCCCAUGGCAAGACCCAUGCCAACUCCACCUUCUGGAAACCAGCACAUCCAUCCUUUCUAUACACUACUGCCUUGACCUACAUUGGCCACUAUCUGGUGCUUCCCAGCUGCAGUGAAGAACAGCAAAUCAACUAAAUCACGCUGCAGAAGUUAGAA